CAUGAAUCUAAUGAAGAAGGAACUGCGUCCAAGACACUGGCUGAUUUCUCACUGUUGCCUUCUCUGAGCUGUUGUUGGAGCGUGGUAACAGGUCCUUCCGGCCUAACGAGUCCGCGCUGCCCAUUUUAAACCCAAAUUAACCUACCCGUACAUCUUUGCAAUGUGGGAGGAAACUGGAGCACCUGGAGGAAACCCACGCAGACACGGGAGAAUGUACAAACUCCUUACAGACAGCGACAGGAAUUGAACCCCGAUCACUGGCGCUGUAAUAACGUCACGUUAACCGCUACGCUACCGUGCCGCCCCUAGCAGUGCAACCAAAAAUUCUCAAGGAAGCUUUGAAGGAACAGGUUUUCCGAAGAUGUGGACCUCACCGUCG
Molecule: long non-coding RNA, 379 nt
Organism: Pristis pectinata (smalltooth sawfish)
Lineage: Eukaryota; Metazoa; Chordata; Chondrichthyes; Rhinopristiformes; Pristidae
Exons: 3
Source: RefSeq, a predicted model, not a curated record